AAAUUAGCAAAGCCCGAAGGCGUCGGGC
Molecule: small RNA, 28 nt
Filed under: Bombyx mori (domestic silkworm)
Lineage: Eukaryota; Metazoa; Arthropoda; Insecta; Lepidoptera; Bombycidae
Description: ovarian small RNA-10184
Source: RNAcentral